RNAcentral lists this ribosomal RNA (1539 nucleotides) under metagenome. RNAcentral's name for it is "bacterial SSU rRNA". It matches the Rfam family "Bacterial small subunit ribosomal RNA". The record is from RNAcentral.
AGAGUUUGAUUCUGGCUCAGAACGAACGCUGGCAGCGUGGAUUAGGCAUGCAAGUCGAACGAGAAGCCAUAGCUUCAAUCCUUCGGGAAAGUAAUUGUGGUAGAGAGUGGCGAAAGGGUGAGGAACACGUGGGCAAUCUGCCCCUAAGAUUGGGAUAACCUUGCGAAAGCGGGGCUAAUACCGGAUGUGGUUCUUCGAGGCAUCUCGAGGCAACUAAAGGCGGGGAUCCUUCGGGACCUGCCACUUGGGGAGGAGCCCGCGUCCCAUCAGCUUGUUGGUAAGGUAACGGCUUACCAAGGCUUACGGGUAGCUGGUCUGAGAGGAUGGUCAGCCACACUGGGACUGAGACACUGCCCAGACUCCUACGGGAGGCUGCAGUCGAGGAUCAUUCGCAAUGCGCGAAAGCGUGACGAUGCGACGCUGCGUGGGGGAUGAAGGCCUUCGGGUCGUAAACUCCUGUCAUGAGGGAAAAGUUGUCUCCUCUUUAAUAGAGAGGAGAUUCGAUGGUACCUCAAGAGGAAGCCACGGCUAACUCUGUGCCAGCAGCCGCGGUAAUACAGAGGUGGCAAGCGUUGUUCGGAUUUACUGGGCGUAAAGGGUGCGUAGGUGGCUGUGUAUGUCGGGCGUGAAAGCCCACCGCUCAACGGUGGAACUGCGUUCGAAACUGCACAGCUAGAGUACAGGAGGGGAGAGCGGAAUUCUUGGUGUAGCGGUGAAAUGCGUUGAUAUCAAGAAGAACACCGGUGGCGAAGGCGGCUCUCUGGAAUGAUACUGACACUGAUGCACGAAAGCUGGGGGAGCAAACAGGAUUAGAUACCCUGGUAGUCCCAGCCGUAAACGGUGUGAACUUGGUGUGGGGGGUGUUAACCCUUCCCGUGCCGGAGCUAACGCGUUAAGUUCACCGCCUGGGGAGUACGGCCGCAAGGCUAAAACUCAAAGAAAUUGACGGGGGCCCGCACAAGCGGAGGAGCAUGUGGCUUAAUUCGAUGCAACGCGAAGAACCUUACCAGGGCUUGACAUGGCGACCCUUCGGGGGUGGGAGCGAAAGUUCCCUUUACGAUCACAGGUGCUGCAUGGCUGUCGUCAGUUCGUGCCGUGAGGUGUUGGGUUAAGUCCCGCAGCGAACGCAACCCUUGUGGUUAGUUGCCACCGUAGGUGAUGAGCCUACGAGCACUCUAGCCAGACUGCCCGUACAAGCGGGAGGAAGGUGGGGACGACGUCAAGUCAGUACGGCCCUUACGCCCUGGGCUGCACACGUGCUACAAUGGGAGGUACAGAAGGAUGCAAUACCGCGAGGUGGAGCAAAUCCUCAAAGCCUUCCUCAGUUCGGAUUGGAGUCUGCAACUCGACUCCAUGAAGUCGGAUUCGCUAGUAACGGCGUAUCAGCUACGACGCCGUGAAUACGUUCCCGGGCCUUGUACACACCGCCCGUCACAUCAUGAAAGCUGUCUGCACCAGAAGUCGUUGAGCCAAUCUUGUUUACAGGAAGGCAGGCGCCGAAGGUGUGGGUGGUGACUGGGAUGAAGUCGAAACAAGGUA